Molecule: long non-coding RNA, 1742 nt
Organism: Felis catus (domestic cat)
Lineage: Eukaryota; Metazoa; Chordata; Mammalia; Carnivora; Felidae
Exons: 4
Source: RefSeq, a predicted model, not a curated record
AGGAAGGAAGGAAGGAAGGAAGGAAGGAAGGAAGGAAGGAAGGAAGGAAGGAAGGAAGGAAGGGGAAGGGAAGGGAGGGAGGAAGGAAAGAAAGGAGGGCAACUCUACACUCUCAUACACUUGUUCAUACACUUGUUCAAGGACACCAGGAUUCCUUUCUAUCGUCUGCAAAAUAGUACUUAAGGGACUUUAAUUCCCCUACUUCCGGCUCUCGGGACAUAAUGGUUUAAAAUUCCUGGCAAUUGAACCUGGACCCACACUUUCUUUUUCCUCCUCAUCCUGUGUCAUCGCUCUCCUUGCUGUCAGCACCCUGGCAGGCAUCUGGCAACACAGCUGGAACCAGAGUAUGCCCGGGUGCCACAACACCUGCCUCGCCUGGCUGAUCCUUUAGAAUCCAAAGGCGUUCAUUUUUAGAGAGGAGCAGUGAAGGCUUACGGUAUCAGCAGUGCUACCUGCUUCGUGAUCUGAGCAAAUAACAGGGCGAAGGCUCAACUCUAACUCGGUGCCGUGAUGAAUUACUCAGUGCCUGCUGCGGGCCGGGGGCUGGAGAUCCCCUGCGAGGAAGUUUUUAGCUGGGAACUUUCUGUAAGCUUUCCAGGAAUGAGCCGGAGAGGGAACACUCAAGUUGGGGCUUGCUGAUAAUACACCAGUCACACAGCUGCUCCAUUCCCACAUAAAUUUAGUCCUUGGCUGGUCACACUGACACAUUUCCCUGAAGGUGGCCAGAGGGCUCAUGCAGCCAGCCGGUUAUGAAACACCGAGAAGUAUAAAAGCCUGCUAGCCCUCUGGGCUGUUUUUCCCCUGACAGAGAUGGGGGCUGUGAGCAGGCUUGUCCCCUUGGCCCUUUUCAUCGUGCCGUGUUUGGCAGAGUUCAACUGGACCCAGUCUGAAGGUAGGCUUCAUGCCUAGUGCAGAGCCCAACACAAGGCUCUUGACCCUGAGAUCAAGACCUGAGCUGAGAUCAAGAGUCGGAUGCUUAACCUACUAACCAACCUGACUAUGCCUCUUCAUAAGUUCUUCAUACAUUUUGGAUACUAACCCCUUAUCAUUAAGUACUAAGCUACACGGCCGUAUGGGGAUCCGAGGCAGGAGGUGAAGACCCACAAAGCCCUGGUCCUGCAACUCAAUGCCACGAGGACUGUACCUGGACACUUGAAAGACCAGAACAUGAAAGCAUCAGACUCACCUUUCCUGCUUCAAGUAGAGACUUUGGUCUUCUAAAAAGGAUGGCUGAAGACUCUGGCCAUACUGACAAAUCUCUGUGGAAAGAUGUCAGCUGCGCCCAGAAGUUGUGGUAGGAAAACCCACAACCCAGCUGACGAUGGGAAUGGCUGACAGCCCCUGACCGGACUGUGCUCCCCGACUGGCUCACAUGGAGGCUGAGAACUUGUCUCAGGUCACAUAACCGCAGCACUUCACACCGGAAACACACGAGAGAAGGCCUCUGGCAAGAACCUGUAUCUGCUCAGGAAAGGAGGGGACUGUACACUUUCUGGGUUUACUGAGAUCAAACAGGAUGAAUUCUCUCAAUUUACCUCAAACGCUAAGUCUAAAGUAAUAAUCCCAACAAGGAAAAGGCCGGUUCUGAUGUUUACUUUCUACCUACUGCUACGCUUUAUUGAAACAGAUAAUAACGGCCCCGGUGCAUACGUAUGCAUGCCAAACACAAUGCCUCAGCUGUUAUCCGAGCGUAAACACCACCCGAUCAGUGAUCUGAAUGAAAGGCUUUUAAGUCUUAGGUA